This 245-nucleotide ribosomal RNA is filed under the name uncultured bacterium. RNAcentral's name for it is "partial 16S ribosomal RNA". It matches the Rfam family "Bacterial small subunit ribosomal RNA", at positions 524 to 768 of the family's 1533-position model. The record is from RNAcentral.
UACAGAGGUGACUAACGUUGUCCGGAAUUAUUGGGCGUAAAGGGCGCGUAGGCGGUCGGGUAAGUCAGAUGUGAAAGCUCUGGGCUUAACUCAGGAAUUGCAUUUGAUACUGUCCGGCUUGAGUACGGUAGAGGAGGGUGGAAUUCCCAGUGUAGCGGUGAAAUGCGUAGAUAUUGGGAGGAACACCGGUGGCGAAGGCGGCCCUCUGGACCGAAACUGACGCUGAAGCGCGAAAGCUAGGGGAG